GCUGGGCAUGCUGGAGUGUGCCUGCAGUCCCAGACACUUGGGAGGCUGAGGCAGGAGGAUCGCUUGAGCCCAGGAGUUCUGGGCUGUAGUGCACUAUGCCAAUCAGGCGUCCAUACUAAGUUUGGCAUCAAUAUGGUGACCUUCUGGAGCAGGAGACCACCAGGUUGCCUAAGGAAAUGUAAAUCAGCCCAGGUUAGAAAUGGAGCAUGUCAGAAACUCCCAUGCUGAUCAGCAGUGGGAUCACUCUGCACUCCAGCCUGGGCAACACAGCAAGACCCUGUCUCU
This 285-nucleotide signal recognition particle RNA is filed under the name Cebus imitator (Panamanian white-faced capuchin). RNAcentral's name for it is "Metazoan signal recognition particle RNA (ENSCCAG00000003462.1)". It matches the Rfam family "Metazoan signal recognition particle RNA". Rfam says of the family: The signal recognition particle (SRP) is a universally conserved ribonucleoprotein. It is involved in the co-translational targeting of proteins to membranes. Lineage: Eukaryota; Metazoa; Chordata; Mammalia; Primates; Cebidae. The record is from RNAcentral.